This 254-nucleotide ribosomal RNA is filed under the name uncultured bacterium. RNAcentral describes it as "partial small subunit ribosomal RNA". It matches the Rfam family "Bacterial small subunit ribosomal RNA", at positions 26 to 285 of the family's 1533-position model. The record is from RNAcentral.
AGGACGAACGCUGGCGGCGUGCUUAACACAUGCAAGUCGAGCGGAAAGGCCCUUCGGGGUACUCGAGCGGCGAACGGGUGAGUAACACGUGAGUAAUCUGCCCCUAGCUCUGGGAUAGCUCCGGGAAACCGGGAUUAAUACCGGAUACGACCACCUUAGACAUCUUUUGUGGUGGAAAGAAUUUCGGCUAGGGAUGAGCUCGCGGCCUAUCAGCUUGUUGGUGGAGUAACGGCCCACCAAGGCGACGACGGGUA